CCUACGGGUGGCAGCAGUGAGGAAUAUUGGUCAAUGGGCGCGAGCCUGAACCAGCCAAGUCGCGUGAGGGAAGACGGUCCUCUGGAUUGUAAACCUUUUUUGUCGGGGAGCAAAAGACGCCACGCGUGGCGUUCCGAGAGUACCCGAAGAACAAGCAUCGGCUAACUCCGUGCCAGCAGCCGCGGUAGUAAGGAGGAUGCGAGGGUUAUCCGGAUUUAUUGGGUUAAAGGGGUGCGCAGGCGGAAGAUCAAGGCAGCGGUAAAAUUUAGGGGCUCAACCUCUUCGAGCCGUUGAAACUGGUUUUCUUGAGUGAGCGAGAAGUAUGCGGAAUGCGUGGUGUAGCGGUGAAAUGCAUAGAUAUCACGCAGAACUCCGAUUGCGAAGGCAGCAUACCGGCGCUCAACUGACGCUCAUGCACGAAAGUGUGGGUAUCGAACAGGAUUAGAUACCCUAGUAGUC
RNAcentral lists this ribosomal RNA (459 nucleotides) under uncultured bacterium. RNAcentral's name for it is "partial 16S ribosomal RNA". It matches the Rfam family "Bacterial small subunit ribosomal RNA", at positions 338 to 795 of the family's 1533-position model. The record is from RNAcentral.